GCGGCAUGCCUUACACAUGCAAGUCGGACGGCAGCGCGGGCUUCGGCCUGGCGGCGAGUGGCGAACGGGUGAGUAAUACAUCGGAACGUGUCCUGUAGUGGGGGAUAGCCCGGCGAAAGCGGGAUUAAUACCGCAUACGAUCUACGGAGGAAAGCGGGGGAUCUUCGGACCUCGCGCUGUAGGGGCGGCCGAUGGCAGAUUAGCUAGUUGGUGGGGUAAAGGCCUACCAAGCCGACGAUCUGUAGCUGGUCUGAGAGUACGACCAGCCACACUGGGACUGAGACACGGCCCAGACUCCUACGGGAGGCAGCAGUGGGGAAUUUUGGACAAUGGGGGCAACCCUGAUCCAGCAAUACCGCGUGUGUGAAGAAGGCCUUCGGGUUGUAAAGCACUUUUGUCCGGAAAGAAAACUUCGCUCCUAAUAUGGGUGGAGGAUGACGGUACCGGAAGAAUAAGCACCGGCUAAC
This 467-nucleotide ribosomal RNA is filed under the name uncultured beta proteobacterium. RNAcentral describes it as "bacterial SSU rRNA". It matches the Rfam family "Bacterial small subunit ribosomal RNA", at positions 39 to 501 of the family's 1533-position model. Lineage: Bacteria; Pseudomonadati; Pseudomonadota; Betaproteobacteria. The record is from RNAcentral.